This 207-nucleotide ribosomal RNA is filed under the name uncultured bacterium. RNAcentral's name for it is "partial 16S ribosomal RNA". It matches the Rfam family "Bacterial small subunit ribosomal RNA", at positions 568 to 774 of the family's 1533-position model. The record is from RNAcentral.
CGCGUAGGUGGCUUGUCAGGUCCGAUGUGAAAACCUGGGGCUCAACCCCAGGCCUGCAUCGGAAACCGGCUUGCUAGAGUCUGGGAGAGGAGAGUGGAAUUCCUGGUGUAGCGGUGAAAUGCGUAGAUAUCAGGAGGAACACCGGUAGCGAAGGCGGCUCUCUGGAACAGUACUGACGCUGAGGCGCGAAAGCUAGGGGAGCGAACA